UUAGGAAUAUUGGACAAUGGGGGCAACCCUGAUCCAGCCAUGCCGCGUGAGUGAAGAAGGCCUUCGGGUUGUAAAGCUCUUUCAGGUGUGAGGAUAAUGACCGUAACACCAGAAGAAGCCCCGGCUAAAUUCGUGCCAGCAGCCGCGGUAAUACGAAUGGGGCGAGCGUUGUUCGGAAUCACUGGGCGUAAAGCGUGCGUAGGCGGAAUAGGAAGUCAGAAGUGAAAGCCCAGGGCUUAACCCUGGAAUUGCUUUUGAAACUCCUAUUCUAGAGUCCCGGAGAGGUUAAGGGAAUUCCGAGUGUAGAGGUGAAAUUCGCAGAUAUUCGGAGGAACACCAGUGGCGUAGGCGCUUAACUGGACGGGUACUGACGCUGAGGCACGAAAGCGUGGGGAGCAAACA
RNAcentral lists this ribosomal RNA (402 nucleotides) under uncultured bacterium. Its description in RNAcentral is "bacterial SSU rRNA". It matches the Rfam family "Bacterial small subunit ribosomal RNA", at positions 355 to 774 of the family's 1533-position model. The record is from RNAcentral.